UCGAGAAUCUUCGGCAAUGGGCGCAAGCCUGACCGAGCGACGCCGCGUGGAGGAUGAAGGCCUUCGGGUUGUAAACUCCUGUCGAGGGGGAGGAAGGGGCGACCUUGACCGAUCCCUGGAGGAAGCACGGGCUAAGUUCGUGCCAGCAGCCGCGGUAAGACGAACCGUGCGAACGUUAUUCGGAAUCACUGGGCUUAAAGCGCGUGUAGGCGGAUGGGAGCGUCGGAACCUGAAAGCCCCCGGCUCAACCGGGGAAGUGGGGCCGAAACGACCCGUCUCGAGGGACGUAGGGGGAGCUGGAACUUCCGGUGGAGCGGUGAAAUGCGUUGAGAUCGGAAGGAACGCCCGUGGCGAAAGCGAGAUCCUGGACGUCUUCUGACGCUGAGACGCGAAAGCUAGGGGAGCAAACGG
This 411-nucleotide ribosomal RNA is filed under the name uncultured bacterium. RNAcentral describes it as "bacterial SSU rRNA". It matches the Rfam family "Bacterial small subunit ribosomal RNA", at positions 355 to 775 of the family's 1533-position model. The record is from RNAcentral.